RNAcentral lists this transfer RNA (78 nucleotides) under Staphylococcus pseudintermedius. Its description in RNAcentral is "tRNA-Ala". It matches the Rfam family "tRNA". Rfam says of the family: Transfer RNA (tRNA) molecules are approximately 80 nucleotides in length. Their secondary structure includes four short double-helical elements and three loops (D, anti-codon, and T loops). Further hydrogen bonds mediate the characteristic L-shaped molecular structure. tRNAs have two regions of fundamental functional importance: the anti-codon, which is responsible for specific mRNA codon recognition, and the 3' end, to which the tRNAs corresponding amino acid is attached (by aminoacyl-tRNA synthetases). tRNAs cope with the degeneracy of the genetic code in two manners: having more than one tRNA (with a specific anti-codon) for a particular amino acid; and 'wobble' base-pairing, i.e. permitting non-standard base-pairing at the 3rd anti-codon position. Lineage: Bacteria; Bacillati; Bacillota; Bacilli; Caryophanales; Staphylococcaceae. The record is from RNAcentral.
GGGGGCUAUAGCCUCAGCUGGGAGAGCGCCUGCUUUGCACGCAGGAGGUCAGCGGUUCGAUCCCGCUAGUCUCCACCA